GUGCUGGCCCGUGAAGAACUCUCAUGUUCAGAGAAUGAAGGUUGCGGAGAUGAGGAUGCUCAGGUGGAUGUGCGGGCUCACCAAGUUAGAUAAGUUUAAGAAUGAAGUUAUUCGAGAGAAGGUGGGGGUGGACCCGGUUGAUGAGAAGAUGCGAGAAGCGAGGCUGAGGUGGUUCGGGCAUGUGCGGAGGAAAGUCCUGAUGCCCCGGUGAGGAGUUGUGAACAGCUGGCGAUGGUCGGCGUUCGGCGAGGCAG
Molecule: long non-coding RNA, 254 nt
Filed under: Nicotiana benthamiana
Lineage: Eukaryota; Viridiplantae; Streptophyta; Magnoliopsida; Solanales; Solanaceae
Description: long non-coding RNA (NBEN_LNC015550)
Source: RNAcentral